Non-coding RNA from Picea glauca (white spruce), 127 nucleotides. NCBI's taxonomy places the organism in Eukaryota, Viridiplantae, Streptophyta, Pinopsida, Pinales, Pinaceae. The record is from Rfam.
GUAUGUACAUUCCUUCAGCAUAGCAUUAAUGCACCAGAUCCCAUUAGAACUUUGCAGUUAAGCGCGCUCAGGCUAAAGUAGUACUAGGAUGGGUGACUACCUGGGAAGUCCUAGUAUUUAACAUGCC